GGGCCAUUAGCUCAACUGGUAGAGCAACGGACUCUUAAUCCGUAGGUCGAAGGUUCGAGUCCUUCAUGGCCCACCA
This 76-nucleotide transfer RNA is filed under the name Deltaproteobacteria bacterium. RNAcentral's name for it is "tRNA-Lys". It matches the Rfam family "tRNA". From Rfam's summary of the family: Transfer RNA (tRNA) molecules are approximately 80 nucleotides in length. Their secondary structure includes four short double-helical elements and three loops (D, anti-codon, and T loops). Lineage: Bacteria; Pseudomonadati; Myxococcota; Myxococcia. RNAcentral also lists the same sequence under 2 other names. The record is from RNAcentral.